This is a long non-coding RNA of Oxyura jamaicensis (ruddy duck), 694 nucleotides long. RefSeq lists it as uncharacterized. The transcript is spliced from 3 exons. NCBI's taxonomy places the organism in Eukaryota, Metazoa, Chordata, Aves, Anseriformes, Anatidae. The record is from RefSeq and is a predicted model, not a curated record.
UCUGUGCUUGCAGGGAGACGUGGUGUGGAGUUGAAAGCUGCUUCUGAAUCCUCCCAGAUUCCCUGCUUCUGCCACCCCCAUUUAACUCGGACAACAGGAUUUCUCAGUCUCAGCUGUGCUUGGCUCCCACUUCGCAUGCUGUCAAACGGCAGCUCCAGAAGUACAUUAAAAAAAGGGAGGGCACUCAUCCAGCAUGCACAAACACAAAGAAAUAAGUUGCUCCAAUUUGCUUGGCUUUCUUCAGCUCCACUCACUGAUAAUACUGUGCAAAGCCCAGCGUGACUCGCUGAACAGGAUCGUGCCAUGAGGAUGAGCAGUGAGGAAGGCUCGAUGUGAGAUACCUGCAUGGCUCCAGCUCCUGCCUGCCCGCGCCUUCCCCAGGCUGCCCUUUCCCGUGCCGUGAGGGUCUCUGCUAUUUUCUCAGUGGAGCCAUGCCCCAGUCCAUGAUGAAGAAAUCCGGACCCUGUUCUGGUUCACCAAAAUAGUCCAGCCUUUACACUGUGUUGCUUCAGCAUCUGCUGCCCGCCGUGCAGUGCGGGGAGAGCCCUGACAGCAGGAGGAGAGGCUCCUGCAAAAGCGGUCACAUCGCUCAGUUCAGCGGUGAUGGUCCGAGUGCUUAUGGUUAAACAGCACCAGGUCUAAGGCUGAAUGUUAUUGGAGUUCAGCUGAUGCACCUGGGGAGGAAAAUUAUAGG